CCCAAACAACCUGGUUUUUUGUUUCACAAUAGUCCCUUUGAAGCAGAGUCUUCAUCAGGCAACCAUGGAUCAUCUUCGAGAAACGAAAUAAGUUUAUCACUUUUAGACGCUCGAUAGAGGGUGAUAUGCUCCAAACCAUCAGUAAUGACUCCAAUCCCACUUGAUGUUUGGGGCAUGUGCUUUUAGAGCCAAUGCUAGUGAGAAAUGUUUCAGAAAUCAAACAUGCAAUCAAGUAUAAAUAGUGGUGUUUUGUUUAUUUCAUGGAUAGAUAAGAUUGAAGGGCCAAACUGAAGCUUCAUACAGUUAACAUGUACAAAUUCCAUGCAAUCUCUUCAUUUACAAGUUUUUGACUUAUCUUGUUUUCUACUGCAUUUAUGUAAUAUCAAGAGCCACCUAACCUUGUCAACUUGAAAAAUGAUAAUAUUAAUGCAUGAUGAGCCCAUCUUUCCCCUCAAUAUAAGUGUUAAUUAGUGUGAUAAAUGAAUCAACAAACUAACAUCAUUGUCUCUGUAUCAUUUUGUGCAUAAUCAAACAUUUGUUAUCAACAAGAAGAAAAGAUCAUUCAUACUACAGGGAUUGCUCAGUUCCUUUUGCUUAAAUCCAGAAGCGGCUAAGUACCAUGAGACUGUAACCUCUUUUUGGGGCACAAACGAAUGGACUUCACAUACAAGAUUAGUCAAGCUAACUAGCAAUUAGAUCUUUAACAGAGGCUAGGGAUUCCAAGGCUGUAGAGUUUUCAUCUUCAUCUUUGUUUCAUCGUAGUCCAACUCUUUGGUUAUGGGGGCUUCAAAGGAGUUGGAAGACGUAUCGAUGAGGUUGUCAGGGCGUCGCAAAACAAAAAGAAAAGGGAAGAGCACGCUGAUUGUACGUGACUGACAGCUGAUACGAGGUUGGCUUUGUCCUGUUGCAGACAAAGAUUUGGUGGGCCCAACACGUUGGCAACAAUAUCAAACGUAAGAGUGAUAAUAGAUUUGGCAAAGUCAUGAACACAUCACUCAGGGGAGGGGGAUUUGGCAAAAUUAUGGAGUGGUACUAGCAAUUAGAGGAAUGGGCCGACAUGCUUAAUGGGCUUGUAGUGCACUAGCAAUUUUUUAAUGGGCUUAUUGUGGAUCAAGGCAUGUUCUAAAGGGCUUCUUUUGAACAACAAAUAUUGGUUUUUUCUUUGUUAAAGUCAUUGUAGGAGUAGUCAUCAGCGUAAUUAAAAAACCGACAGUUCCGCUUGCCCGACGCUACUUUCCGCUUGGUUUUGUCAUAACAAUAAUGUUGACUUAAUAAUAAAUAAUUAUGUCAUUCACCAUGUAUUUUUGUUAGUUUUUGAAAGUUCUCUUUAGAUUUGCUGGCAUGACUUCAAAAUUAUAUAUAAUUAAAUAAUAUAUAUAUAUAUAUAUAUGUAUAGUAUUGUUUUGAAGAAGAAAAAGAAAGGAAAAUGGAGUUCUAUGUGCAAAAGAAUUGAUUUUAUUUGUUGAAUCAAAUAAAAAAUAAUUAAAUGUAUAAUUGAAAAAUCAUAUACAGAUUUUUUAAAAAACAGCAUAUCUAUUAAUUAGAAAUAAUAAUAAAUUAUAUAAAUAUGUGAUUAAUGUUAAUUGAUUAACUAUUUUAAAUUAAUUACAUUAAUGAAUUAACUAAUUAAUUAGUUAAUUAAGAUAAUUAACUAACUAUUUUAUUUCCAAAAUAAUUUAAAUUAAUUAAUUUAAUUCUUUAAAACUUAACUAAUUUACCAAAAAUAAAUAUUUAGUAAUUUCACAUAUUUUAAUAUAUAAAUAUUUAGUAUUUAAAUAUUAGGUUAGUUUUGUCAUGCUAUUAUUUAUUAUUUUAAGGGAUAAGGUUGAAAAAUUAAAAAUUUACCUGAAAAUAAUAAAUAAAAAGGUAAGUUUGAAAAUAUAAGGGUAAUUUUUUAAAUUUACAUUACAUUCUCAUACUUCCAAACCAAAGAAUACCAUCUAAUCUUCCCAGCAAUCAUAUUACAUGCAAUCAUCAUUUGUCUAUGAUAUAUAAAACGUUGCAAAGUUUUUUUUCAUUCAUCAUAUUCCCUACAAUUAUCAUUUUUUUAUAUUAUACAAAAUGCUGCAAAAUUCUUCUCAUCUAUCAUAUUCCCUACAGUCAUCACUUUUUCAUAUUAUAUCAAUGCUGCAAAAUUCUUCUCAUCAAUAACAUUCUCAAUAAUCAUAUUAUUAACAAUCACAUUUUCAAUAAAAUAUUAAAAAACCCGGUUUAUACUACUAAGAACAAACUAAUUAACAUGAAAAUAAGGGAAAUUGACACGAAGUCAAUUCUAUCGGUCCCUUAGGACUUGUGAUUGCAAUUUCUUGUAAAUUCAGCCUAAAAGUAUAGGAAGACUUGACUUUUUGGUAAUCAUGUCGACUUCAUAAUAGUUAUUGAGAAGAAAAAAUCUCCAUGACGUACGUUUUUUUUAAGUCUAGAUAUGCAUGUUUACUUAAUUACUUGCAUGUUGAGUGGUCUUGGUUUAAGUCAUAGUCUUACGGUCUAGUAGUGUACAAUGAAAUUAAUUUUAGAGGUUACUUUAUGAUAUAAUUGAGUGUAAAGUUCCCUGAUUUUUUUGUGUAACAAAGAACUUUAGCAUCUUGGGUUUAGCUCUACAUUAAGCUAGGGCAGACAAGAAUAUACCGUUUCAUAGUUUUUUAAACUUAACUGCAACUUAUUUCAGUUCCUAUUUAUCAAUAAUCUUAACUUGACAGCCAUCAUAGUUAAAUAUCUAGUUAAAGAUACUUCUAUCUCCAAGAAGAAGUUGAGACCUAUAGAAUAGUUGUAGUCUCUGUCACGAUUGAUGAAGAAUUCCAAGGUCAAUGGACCCAAAGUCUUGCCUUGAAGCCUGAAGGUCAAUGCUGUUUAGAAUGUUCAAUCAAAUGGCAUCUAUUCUUAUCUUCCCAGCAAAAGGCUUUCAGACCAUACAUCCAUGGGCAUGGAUAUCCUUUCUUUCAGUGCUUGUUUCCUCAUCAUCUUCUCGAAAGCUUCCAUCGCACUCGACAAGAUUUCUCCGUCUGAGUCACUCACUGAUGGCACGACCUUGGUCUCUAGUGAUGGAAGCUUUGCAUUGGGUUUCUUCACUCCGGGGAGUUCCAAGAAUCGUUACUUGGGAAUUUGGUACAAUAACAUCCCCAUGCAAACUGUUGUAUGGGUUGCAAACAGGAUAAAUCCAAUAAAUGACACCACUGGCUUGCUGAAGAUAGAAAGCUCUGGCAGAGUCGUGCUUCUAGGUCAGAACCAAACAACUGUUUGGUCAAUUAAUUCCACAGAAGCAGCUCAGAAUCCGAUUCUGCAGCUCCUGGAUUCAGGCAAUCUUGUUGUCAGAGAUGGAAAAGAUGGUGAUUCAGAGAACUACUUGUGGCAAAGCUUUGAUUAUCCAACUGAUACAAUGUUAGCAGGGAUGAAGAUUGGUUGGGACCUGAGAACUGGUUUAAAUCGAAGACUAUCAGCAUGGAAGAACUCAGAUGAUCCAUCUCCUGGGGACCUUACUUAUGGGGUAGAACUCCAAGGCAAUCCACAGAUGGUGCUGCGGAAAGGCUCAGAAAAGUACUAUCGCAGUGGCCUAUGGAAUGGCAAUGGGUUUAGUGGUGUACCAAAUUUAAGAUCAAAUCCGGUCUUUGAUUACGACUUUGUCUGGAAUAAGGAGGAGGUGUACUACAUAUUUUACCUGAAAAAUAAAUCGGUGAUGUCAAGGUUUGUUUUGAACCAAACUGAAAAGGUAAGACAGCGGUACACAUGGAACCCAGAAACUCAGACUUGGAAGUUGUUUUCAAUCAUGCCAAGUGACUAUUGUGACACACCUGGACUUUGUGGUGCAAAUGGGAACUGCGACAAUUCCAAGCUUCCAGCUUGCCAAUGUUUGAAAGCAUUCAGGCCUAAAUCGCUGGAAAGAUGGAACUCCUCAGACUGGUCUGAAGGGUGUAUACACAAUAAGCCAUUAAACUGUCAAAGGGGAGAUGGAUUUAUUAGAAUUGAGAGGGUGAAAACGCCAGAUACCUCACAUUCUUGGGUGAACAAAAGCAUGAAUCUUAAGGAAUGUAGGGCUAGGUGCUUGCAGAACUGUUCAUGUAUGGCAUACACUAAUUUAGAUAUUAGAGGAGGAGGUAGCGGCUGCGCCAUGUGGUUUGAUGAUCUAAUUGAUAUUAAACAAUUCCAAUCAUUUGGCCAAGAUCUUUACAUCAGAGUGUCUGCUUCAGAAGCAGGUAUCAGUUUAAAAUCGGAACAUAUUCUUGUUAAAGCUUGUGAUAAUUUCUUUUGGAAAUUGUUUAAUUAUAUUUGUGCUCCUUCAACAAUAUUGAUCAUGCAGAACUGAAAAACAAGUCUGAGGCGAAGCUGGCCAUGAUAAUUGCAACGCCAAUUGCUGUGUUCUUGGGGCUUCUUGUAGUCAUAUAUUACAUCCGGAGAAGGAGGAGAAAAUUAGAAGGUAAUAUCAACCAUGGUCCUCAUAAAGCAGGGGAAAGUUGGUAUUUGCUAUCAAAAUCAAUUUCGCCAACAGCAGCGCUAUCAAAUCCCUGCCCUGUUUUCAAGAAAACAGUAAUACUGAAAUUUGCCAUUUCAUUAUAUUCCUUAUCAAAUUUGAUAAUAGAUGGUUUUUAAUUUUGUUUUAUGAUCUGACAAAAAAGAGAGUCCAUGAACAAUUGGUUGGAUACUUUUGGUUUUGGUGUUCAGAAGAAGCAUACAGCUUUUGUUCUUCUCUCUAAAUCUAUCAAUAUGCAUAAGAAAGCCCAUUUCUAUGUUGAAUGCUAGCCUAUUUUGACUACUGUUUCAGAUGAAGUUGAAGAAAGGAUUGAAAAUGACCAAAAGAACCAAGGCCGGAGUGAAGAUAUGGACCUUGCUGUAUUCGAGCUUGGUACGAUAGCCAGAGCUACAGAUAGUUUUUCUUUUCAUAACAAGCUAGGUGAAGGAGGUUUUGGACCUGUUUAUAAGGUAAAGUUGACAGCAUAUUACUACAAUGAUCUCAAUUACAGAGAAUUCAUCUUCCUUGAAAGCUCAUCAAAAUGUUCUUAUUCUCCAGGGGACACUUGCAAAUGGACAAGAAAUUGCUGUGAAAAGACUUUCAAAGAGUUCCGGACAAGGAUUGAACGAGUUUAAAACUGAAGUAAAGUUGAUUGCCAAACUUCAGCAUCGGAAUCUUGUAAGGCUUCUUGGGUGCUGCAUUCAUGGAGAGGAGAAAAUGCUGGUUUAUGAAUACAUGCCUAACAGAAGUCUUGACUCAUUUAUUUUUGGUCAGAAACCUUUCAAUUUUAUAUUGUCUGCUCUCGGCUUAUGAAAUAGUUUUCUUUUGCUGCUUCAAAGGAUCAAAUAGAUAUAGAAUUAACAUGAAUGCAGUAUUUGACAGAUCAAAGAAGAUGCAAAGUAUUAGAUUGGCCCAAGCGUUUCCAAAUUAUCUGUGGGAUUGCUAGGGGACUCCUUUACCUUCAUCAAGAUUCCAGAUUGAGGAUUAUUCAUAGAGAUCUGAAAGCUAGUAAUGUUCUACUUGAUAGUGAGAUGAACCCAAAAAUUUCAGAUUUUGGCAUGGCAAGAACUUUUGGAGGAGACCAGACUGAAGCCAAUACAAACAGAGUGGUUGGAACUUAGUAAGUCUACUUUUUCUGCAAAUUUGAUCUAUAGAUCCCCAUGAAAAUGCAUACUUUUAUCUGACAAUGUCCUGCAGUGGUUAUAUGGCACCAGAAUAUGCUAUCGAUGGCCUGUUUUCGGUAAAAUCAGAUGUGUUUAGCUUUGGCAUAUUGUUGUUGGAGAUAAUAAGUGGAAGAAAGAAUAGAGGAUUCUAUCAUAAAAAUCAAAGCGGCAACCUUAUUGAACAUGUAAGCCUCAUUGUCAUUAUUUUUUAUUACAUAUCUUGAAUUGAUGAAUGAUAAAAGAAUUUCUUUUUGCUGCAGGCAUGGAGAUUAUGGAAAGAAGGCAAGCCUUUGAAUCUUGCUGAUGAUUUCUUAGCAGAGACUGGCAGUCUAUCACAGGUGUUACGAUGCAUCCACAUUAGCCUUUUAUGUGUACAGCAGCAUCCUGAGGGGAGGCCAAGCAUGUCAUCCGUGGUUCUGAUGUUGGGAAGUGAGAAUGAAUUGCCUCUGCCCAAACAACCUGGUUUUUUGUUUCACAAGAGUCCAUUUGAAGCAGAUUCUUCAUCCGGUAACCAUGGAUCAUCUUCGAAAAACGAAAUAAGUUUAUCAGUUUUAGAGGCUCGAUAGAGGGUGAUAUGCUUCAUUAAACCUAUUAUGCUCCAAACUAUCAGUAAUGAUUCCAAUCCCACUUGAUGUUCGGGGCAUGUGCUUUUGGACCAAAUGCUAGUGAGAAAUGUUUUAAAAAUCAACAUGCAAUCAAGUACAAAUAUUAGUGUUGCAUUUAUUCCGUGGAUAGGUAGAUUGAAGGACCAAACUAAAGCUUCAUACAGUUCAGAUAUAACUGAAGCUUCAUACGGUUAAGAUGUACAAAUUUCAUGCAAUCUCAUCACUUACAAGUUGCUGACUUCUCUUGUUUUCUACUGCAUUUGUGUAAGAUCAAGAGCCACCUAAUCUAGCCGGCUUGGGAACCUCAAUAUGAGUGUUAAUUAAUUAGUGUGAUAAAUGAAUCAACAAACUAGCUUCAUUGUCUCUACAUUAUUCUGUGCAUAAUCAAACCUGUGUCAUCAACAACAAGAAAAUAUCAUUCAUGACUAGGAUUCCUCAGUUCCUUUGCUUGACUCCAGAAGUGAACUUAGUACCAUGAGACUGUAACCUCUUUUUGGGGCGCAAACGAAUGAACUUCACAUACAAGAUUAGUCAAGCUAAGUAUCAAUUAGAACUUUAAUAGAGGCUACAGAUUCCAGGUUGAAAGAAGCUGGUGAGGUCUUCAACAAAGAUAUGUUGCAGUUUUAAGGCUGUACAGUUUUCAUCUUCAUCUUUGUUUGGUCGUGGUCCAACCCCUUUGCUUAUGGGGGCUUCGACAGGCGUUGGACGACACGUUGAUGAGGCUGUCAGGGCGCCUUAAAACAAAAAGAAAAGGGAGAGCGUCCUCAUUGUACGUGACUGACACCUGAUACGAGGUUGGCUUUGUCCGGUUUCAGACAGAUUUGGUGGGCCCAACACGUUGGCAACAUUAUCAAACGCGAGAGUGAUAAUAGAUUGGCAAAAUGAAGAACACAUCUCUCACGGAUCCACUUCAGUGAGAUAUGGUGAGGGUCUUACGAUUAUAAAUAUAAAAUUUUUACUAUUUAUUAGAUAUAUUUUUUGAUUUGAUAACAUGAUAUUGUAAUUUAUAAAUUUAGAGAUGUCAACUGGUAGGAUAUUCGUUAAUUUUGAGAUACUAAAAUCUGAAUUCGAUUAAAAAAUAAAAUACCCAAACUCGAUAAUUACCUGAAUUUUUUUUAAAUUUACUAUCCUAACUCAAAUCCUAAUACAUAAUCACUACCCGAUAAUUACUCGAACCCGUUUAAAAAUCUGAUUAUGUAAAAAAUUAUUAAAAUACUCUUUAUAGAUACCCAAUUACCCAAACUCAAAUCUGUACCUGUAUCUAUAUACAAUAAUAUUUUUAUUCAUAUUUUAUAUAAUUCACCAAUAAUUAAAUUUAUAAAAGCACAUAAAUAAUAAAAUUUAAAUUUAAAUAAUCAAAAACAAAUAUCUCAAAUAUCAACUUAAAUAAUUAAAAACAAAUAUUAAACUACAACUUAAACAUUACAAGUUUAAUUAACUAUGUGGGUUUAUCCAUGAAAUUAAAAAAAAUAAUUAUAUUCCAAAAUUAUUCUAAUCUUAUAAUUUCUUUUUAGGUAUAUAUUUUAUAAGUUUAUAUACACAAAAGUAUAUAUUAUAAAUAAUAAUUUUAUAAGUUAUAUUUUCUAUAAUGUUAAUACAAUAUAGCAAGUAAACAUGUUUAUAUUUAAAGUAUAUAUACAAUAGUAAUUGUAUUCUUCAUAAAUUAACACAAUAUAUAAAAUAUAUGUAUUAAAAGAUAUUACAAGUUAAUUAAUAAUCAUAGUUUUAUGAAUUAAUUUAAUUAAUAAUAUGAAUUUGUCUUGAAUUACAUAAAAUUAAAAAAAUAUAUAAUCAGAUUCGGGUAUCGGGUAUCCAAAGGGUGAUAUUUGAACCCUACCUGAACCCGAUACAUGUAUUUUAGGGUACUUUAACUUUAUACAAUCAGAUCAGGUACUCGUAAGUACCCUGUAACAGGAUACCUAUAGACAUCCCUAUAUAAACUUACUUAAAUUUAUUAUUCUUAAUUUUUUAAAUACAUUUUUAUUACCCAUAAACUGUUUAUUAAGUUUACGACUCAUAAGUAUUUACAAACUUACAAUAAUAUAAUAAUUACGGUAAAAUAAUUUUUUUUAUCAUUAAAUUAAAAGUUUUAAUGAUGCAACUUGUCUAUUUCUUUUUGAACAUUAUGAAACUCAUAAAAAUAUUAUUAUUAUCAUCAUAGUCUUAGUUGAAAAUGAUGGUCAACAUCUAAAAAAAAGUGAUUAUCUUCUAGAAAAAGAAUUGCCUCUGCCCAAACAACCUGGUUUUUGGUUUCACAAGAGUCCCUUUGAAGCAAAUUCUACAUCAGGCAACUGCAGAUCAUCUUCUAGAAACGAAAAAAGUCUAUCAAUGUUAGAGGCUCGAUAGAGAGUGGUAUGCUUCAUUAAACCUAUUAUGCUCCAAACCAUCAGUAAUGACUCCAAUCCCACUUGAUGUUUGGGGCAUGUGCUUUUAGAGCCAAUGCUAGUGAGAAAUGUUUCAGAAAUCAAACAUGCAAUCAAGUAUAAAUAGUAGUGUUUUGUUUAUUUCAUUUUGCUGCAGGCAUGGAGAUUAUGGAAAGAAGGCAAGCCUUUGAAUCUUGCUGAUGAUUUCUUAGCAGACACU
RNAcentral lists this long non-coding RNA (8792 nucleotides) under Theobroma cacao (cacao). RNAcentral describes it as "long non-coding RNA (TCAC_LNC004247)". The record is from RNAcentral. Lineage: Eukaryota; Viridiplantae; Streptophyta; Magnoliopsida; Malvales; Malvaceae.